UACGUAGGGUGCAAGCGUUGUCCGGAAUUAUUGGGCGUAAAGAGCUCGUAGGCGGUUUGUCGCGUCUGCUGUGAAAUCCCGAGGCUCAACCUCGGGUCUGCAGUGGGUACGGGCAGACUAGAGUGUGGUAGGGGAGAUUGGAAUUCCUGGUGUAGCGGUGGAAUGCGCAGAUAUCAGGAGGAACACCGGUGGCGAAGGCGGGUCUCUGGGCCGAUACUGACGCUGAGGAGCGAAAGCGUGGGGAGCGAACAGG
RNAcentral lists this ribosomal RNA (253 nucleotides) under uncultured bacterium. RNAcentral's name for it is "partial 16S ribosomal RNA". It matches the Rfam family "Bacterial small subunit ribosomal RNA", at positions 524 to 776 of the family's 1533-position model. The record is from RNAcentral.